Molecule: ribosomal RNA, 503 nt
Filed under: uncultured bacterium
Lineage: Bacteria
Description: partial 16S ribosomal RNA
Rfam family: Bacterial small subunit ribosomal RNA
Source: RNAcentral
AUUGAACGCUGGCGGCAGGCUUAACACAUGCAAGUCGAGCGGGGUGAUGGUGCUUGCACUAUCACUUAGCGGCGGACGGGUGAGUAAUGCUUAGGAAUCUGCCUAUUAGUGGGGGACAACAUCUCGAAAGGGAUGCUAAUACCGCAUACGUCCUACGGGAGAAAGCAGGGGAUCACUUGUGACCUUGCGCUAAUAGAUGAGCAUAAGUCGGAUUAGCUAGUUGGUGGGGUAAAGGCCUACCAAGGCGACGAUCUGUAGCGGGUCUGAGAGGGUGAUCCGCCACACUGGGACUGAGACACGGCCCAGACUCCUACGGGAGGCAGCAGUGGGGAAUAUUGGACAAUGGGGGGAACCCUGAUCCAGCCAUGCCGCGUGUGUGAAGAAGGCCUUAUGGUUGUAAAGCACUUUAAGCGAGGAGGAGGCUCUUUUGGUUAAUACCCAGAAUGAGUGGACGUUACUCGCAGAAUAAGCACCGGCUAACUCUGUGCCAGCAGCCGCGGUAA